RNAcentral lists this ribosomal RNA (253 nucleotides) under uncultured bacterium. RNAcentral's name for it is "partial 16S ribosomal RNA". It matches the Rfam family "Bacterial small subunit ribosomal RNA", at positions 524 to 776 of the family's 1533-position model. The record is from RNAcentral.
GACAGAGGUGCCAAGCGUUAGGCGGAAUCACUGGGCUUAAAGCGUGUGUAGGCGGGUCCGUAAGUGUCUUGUGAAAUCCCCCGGCUCAACCGUGGAACUGCUGGGCAUACUGCGGGUCUUGGGCCAACUAGGGGCAGCCGGAACAAGCGGUGGAGCGGUGAAACGCGUAGAUAUCGCUUGGAACGCCGAAGGUGAAAACAGGCUGCUGGGGUUGCGCCGACGCUGAGACACGAAAGCCAGGGGAGCAAACGGG